Molecule: ribosomal RNA, 281 nt
Filed under: uncultured Faecalibacterium sp.
Lineage: Bacteria; Bacillati; Bacillota; Clostridia; Eubacteriales; Oscillospiraceae
Description: partial 16S ribosomal RNA
Rfam family: Bacterial small subunit ribosomal RNA
Source: RNAcentral
CGGAAAGAGGAUUCGUCCAAUUGAAGCAGAGGACAGUGGCGGACGGGUGAGUAACGCGUGAGGAACCUGCCUUUCAGAGGGGGACAACAGUUGGAAACGACUGCUAAUACCGCAUAAGCCCACGGGUCGGCAUCGACCAGAGGGAAAAGGAGCAAUCCGCUUUGAGAUGGCCUCGCGUCCGAUUAGCUAGUUGGUGAGGUAACGGCCCACCAAGGCGACGAUCGGUAGCCGGACUGAGAGGUUGAACGGCCACAUUGGAACUGAGACACGGUCCAAACUCC